GGUGAACGCUGACAGAAUGCUUAACACAUGCAUGUCAACUUGAAUUUGGGUUUUUAACUUAGGUUUGGGUGGCGGACGGGUGAGUAACGCGUAAAGAACUUGCCUCACAGCUAGGGACAACAUUUGGAAACGAAUGCUAAUACCUAAUAUUAUGAUAAUAGGGCAUCCUAUAAUUAUGAAAGCUAUAAGCGCUGUGAGAGAGCUUUGCGUCCCAUUAGCUAGUUGGAGAGGUAACGGCUCACCAAGGCGAUGAUGGGUAGCCGGCCUGAGAGGGUGAUCGGCCACAAGGGGACUGAGACACGGCCCUUACUCCUACGGGAGGCAGCAGUGGGGAAUAUUGGACAAUGGACCGAGAGUCUGAUCCAGCAAUUCUGUGUGCACGAUGAAGUUUUUCGGAAUGUAAAGUGCUUUCAGUUGGGAAGAAACAAAUGACGGUACCAACAGAAGAAGUGACGGCUAAAUACGUG
Molecule: ribosomal RNA, 467 nt
Filed under: uncultured bacterium
Lineage: Bacteria
Description: partial 16S ribosomal RNA
Rfam family: Bacterial small subunit ribosomal RNA
Source: RNAcentral